Molecule: ribosomal RNA, 484 nt
Filed under: uncultured bacterium
Lineage: Bacteria
Description: partial 16S ribosomal RNA
Rfam family: Bacterial small subunit ribosomal RNA
Source: RNAcentral
AUUGAACGCUGGCGGCAGGCCUAACACAUGCAAGUCGAGCGGAUGAAGGGAGCUUGCUCCUGGAUUCAGCGGCGGACGGGUGAGUAAUGCCUAGGAAUCUGCCUGGUAGUGGGGGAUAACGUCCGGAAACGGGCGCUAAUACCGCAUACGUCCUGAGGGAGAAAGUGGGGGAUCUUCGGACCUCACGCUAUCAGAUGAGCCUAGGUCGGAUUAGCUAGUUGGUGGGGUAAAGGCCUACCAAGGCGACGAUCCGCAACUGGUCUGAGAGGAUGAUCAGUCACACUGGAACUGAGACACGGUCCAGACUCCUACGGGAGGCAGCAGUGGGGAAUAUUGGACAAUGGGCGAAAGCCUGAUCCAGCCAUGCCGCGUGUGUGAAGAAGGUCUUCGGAUUGUAAAGCACCUUAAGUUGGGAGGAAGGGCAGUAAGUUAAUACCUUGCUGUUUUGACGUUACCAACAGAAUAAGCACCGGCUAACUUCGUG